CGGACUACAGGGGUUUCUAAUCCUGUUUGCUCCCCACGCUUUCGUGCAUGAGCGUCAGUGCAGGCCCAAGGGAUUGCCUUCGCCAUCGGUGUUCCUCCGCAUAUCUACGCAUUUCACUGCUACACGCGGAAUUCCAUCCCCCUCUGCCGCACUCUAGCCAUGCAGUCACAAAUGCAGUUCCCAGGUUGAGCCCGGGGAUUUCACAUCUGUCUUGCAAAGCCGCCUGCGCACGCUUUACGCCCAGUAAUUCCGAUUAACGCUUGCACCCUACGUAUUACCGCGGCGGCUG
This 289-nucleotide unclassified non-coding RNA is filed under the name uncultured fungus. RNAcentral's name for it is "sequence contains ITS1". Lineage: Eukaryota; Fungi. The record is from RNAcentral.